AUGAACGCUGGCGGCGGGCCUAAUACAUGCAAGUCGAGCGAACAGACGAGGAGCUUGCUCCUCUGACGGUAGCGGCGGACGGGUGAGUAACACGUGGAUAACCUACCUAUAAGACUGGGAUAACUUCGGGAAACCGGAGCUAAUACCGGAUAAUAUAUUGAACCGCAUGGUUCAAUAGUGAAAGACGGUUUUGCUGUCACUUAUAGAUGGAUCCGCGCCGCAUUAGCUAGUUGGUAAGGUAACGGCUUACCAAGGCAACGAUGCGUAGCCGACCUGAGAGGGUGAUCGGCCACACUGGAACUGAGACACGGUCCAGACUCCUACGGGAGGCAGCAGUAGGGAAUCUUCCGCAAUGGGCGAAAGCCUGACGGAGCAACGCCGCGUGAGUGAUGAAGGUCUUCGGAUCGUAAAACUCUGUUAUUAGGGAAGAACAAAUGUGUAAGUAACUAUGCACGUCUUGACGGUACCUAAUCAGAAAGCCACGGCUAACUACGUG
This 496-nucleotide ribosomal RNA is filed under the name uncultured bacterium. RNAcentral's name for it is "partial 16S ribosomal RNA". It matches the Rfam family "Bacterial small subunit ribosomal RNA", at positions 29 to 507 of the family's 1533-position model. The record is from RNAcentral.